GGCAUAUAUGAAUUGAACGUCAGCUUCCCAAGCUGAAUGUCGUGGGUUCGAGUCCCAUCAUCCG
RNAcentral lists this transfer RNA (64 nucleotides) under Leptolyngbya sp. PCC 7375. RNAcentral's name for it is "tRNA-OTHER". The record is from RNAcentral. Lineage: Bacteria; Bacillati; Cyanobacteriota; Cyanophyceae; Leptolyngbyales; Leptolyngbyaceae.